ACUCCUACGGGAGGCAGCAGUGGGGAAUAUUGCACAAUGGGGGAAAACCCUGAUGCAGCCAUGCCGCGUGUGUGAAGAAGGCCUUCGGGUUGUAAAAGCACUUUCAGCGAGGAGGAAAGGUGUGUGCUAAUACCAUACAUCUGUGACGUUACUCGCAGAAGAAGCACCGGCUAACUCCGUGCCAGCAGCCGCGGUAAUACGGAGGGUGCGAGCGUUAAUCGGAAUUACUGGGCGUAAAGCGCGUGUAGGUGGCUUGUUAAGCCAGAUGUGAAAGCCCCGGCUCAAGCCUGGAACUGGCAUUUGGAACUGGCAGGUCUAGAG
This 321-nucleotide ribosomal RNA is filed under the name uncultured bacterium. Its description in RNAcentral is "bacterial SSU rRNA". It matches the Rfam family "Bacterial small subunit ribosomal RNA", at positions 335 to 646 of the family's 1533-position model. The record is from RNAcentral.